CUUCCAUGUAGAGGGUGGAGAGCCUUCUAAUAAGGAUAAAGGCAAGACCAAAGCUUGAGAAGCUUUGAUUAAAGCUUGUUAAAGCUUGUUUUGGAAGGUUGGAGAUUGUGCUUGCUGCUUAAACACCUGAAGAGUAGCAUCAGAGCUGAAGAAAUCUUUUGGUAGUUGAUUAGUAUUUUAUGUAACUAAAAAUUUUGGCAUGUAUAACGAUUACAUUUUUGGAGACUGUAUUAUUUAAUUUAUACCUUAAACAUGUUAUUGUAAAUUAUUUUGGUGUAUAUAUAUUGGGAGAUAAA
Non-coding RNA from Jatropha curcas, 296 nucleotides. The record is from RefSeq and is a predicted model, not a curated record. Lineage: Eukaryota; Viridiplantae; Streptophyta; Magnoliopsida; Malpighiales; Euphorbiaceae.